Cygnus olor (mute swan) is the source of this 615-nucleotide long non-coding RNA. RefSeq lists it as uncharacterized. The record is from RefSeq and is a predicted model, not a curated record. Lineage: Eukaryota; Metazoa; Chordata; Aves; Anseriformes; Anatidae. The transcript has 4 exons.
AUCCAUCUUCAAUCACUUACAGGAACAGACAAACCACAGGCAGAGUGAUCAAUGGAGAAAUAUUCAGUCCCUAUCACCUUUACACUCCUCCUGCAACAUGAAGCUGACAGAUAACUGGCUUAAAGAGCCAGGUGGAAAUAUUCCCUGUGGAAGAGAAUCCUUGACAACUUAGAAAACUUGGCAUCUGGCUAAUCAUCAGCUGAAAAAAUGACAGGUUGAAGAGAGGUGAUUAGUCAGCAAGAGUUUCAGGCAGCAACGGAGUGCAGCAGCCUCUACACAUAUCUUGAUAUGGAGACCAGGUUGAGACAUUCCUACGAAAGAAAUGACAUGAAAUGCUCAGUGCAGUAGCCACAGUGGCAUGGUUCAUUCCAUGUUAGUGAACUGCCUAUCUGCCUCAUGCUACCAGCCAACAACAAGUUGUCAGCCUCUCCCGAUGAAGUGAAUUGCAGAUCUACAAGUUGGCCAGUUUACCCAGCUUUGGUUCUCAGCAGAGUACCAAGCUGCUCGUGCCUUACAUACAGCCUUUAAUCCUUUCUGGGAUGACGUCCCCUGAUGCUAACGAUGGAGACAAGGAUUUGGAGAUAGCAACAAACAAAAAGGAGAUUUCAUUUCAUU